UGGGGCAGAAUCCAUUGCUAGAAGUUGUUUGGAGAAACAAUUGGUUAUGAACCUACCCAUGGAUGCACUAAGGUUGGCCGAGCUACACUCGGGCCCGAAUGCAGUCCGUGUGGAUUUUAGUACCCGCUAAAGAAUUAAUGUAAUUCUUCGAGUUGGAAGUAGAGGCUACCAAUUUGUUAAAAAUAGUGGGAGAACCUUUAGACUAAAAUCUAUGUCUUCAGGAUUAAAAGUAAUUCAUAUACUAAUAGGCUAGUGUUUUUUCCUUUCAGUUAUGGCCAACACACUAUUCCUCCGUUCGGGACAGCGACAAGCUUACCGGACCCAACUUCGAUAACUGGUAUCGAAAGUUGAAGAUCGUGUUGGAGCAUGAAAGAAUUUUAUAUAUCCUUAAGGAUCGGGCACCUGAAGAACCUGCAGCCAAUGCUCCUCGUGCUGCGAAAGACCCAUGAAGUGGCUUAAUGACCGCACGACUGUAAGUUGCGUGAUGAGGAUAGCUAUGAACGACGAACUUAGUCGUAAGUUCGAG
RNAcentral lists this long non-coding RNA (526 nucleotides) under Elaeis guineensis (African oil palm). RNAcentral's name for it is "long non-coding RNA (EGUI_LNC011284)". The record is from RNAcentral. Lineage: Eukaryota; Viridiplantae; Streptophyta; Magnoliopsida; Arecales; Arecaceae.